RNAcentral lists this long non-coding RNA (675 nucleotides) under Capra hircus (goat). RNAcentral's name for it is "lncRNA (ENSCHIG00000005543.1)". The record is from RNAcentral. Lineage: Eukaryota; Metazoa; Chordata; Mammalia; Artiodactyla; Bovidae.
GUCUGUUCCUGCUUCUCUCCACUAGAAUCAAGGUCAAGGAUAGAAGCUGGUCUAGCACAAAGUUAGAUGAAUUGUCUUCCAUUUAAUCAGUCAACAUUACAAAGUGUUUACGCCACAUACAACUUCAUAACAUCCGGGUCUGAGGGCAUCUGUAAAAUAGGGGGACCUCCAAUCUCUCUUUCCACAGGUGGGCAAUCAGAGAGCUGGUCCACCGCGCUGGCCUGCCGGGCCUCCUGCCUGUCCCGGGCUGAGUGCCUCUGAACCACAAGCUUCGCAGUCCUGAACGCUGACCCAAGCCCCUCCCAGGCACGUAGGAUGCUCGGGCAGGGGGUGGGGCUCUCGGAGGUGUGGGCGGGGCUCUCGGAGGCGUGGUCACGUGCAGGCAAGGACCAUGGGAGACAGCUGGUUCAGGGGCUCAGAGACCAAGCGCAGGCAAGCCGGCCCCACGCCCUGUGGCCAGGAUACAGAGCUGAGGGGACAGAGCGGGAAGCAGCCCAGGGUGUGCAGGACGUGACACUGUUUGCUGUGAGGGACGGAACAGGGAGAGAGGCUGAGACCAUCAGGCAGCUGAGAAGACCAGAGGCACAGGUAGAGGCCGGGGUACGAGGACCCCGAAGCUGUGCCCACACGGCCUCUCCCGCAGGUGGUCCGGAUGAAAGGGUGUGUCCGCCAUAA